This 1488-nucleotide ribosomal RNA is filed under the name uncultured bacterium. RNAcentral's name for it is "bacterial SSU rRNA". It matches the Rfam family "Bacterial small subunit ribosomal RNA". The record is from RNAcentral.
AGUUUGAUUAUGGCUCAGGAUGAACGCUGGCGGCGUGCCUAACACAUGCAAGUCGAGCGAUUCUCUUCGGAGAAGAGCGGCGGACGGGUGAGUAACGCGUGGGUAACCUGCCCUGUACACACGGAUAACAUACCGAAAGGUAUGCUAAUACGAGAUAACAUACUUUUAUCGCAUGGUAGAAGUAUCAAAGCUCUGGCGGUACAGGAUGGACCCGCGUCUGAUUAGCUAGUUGGUAAGGUAACGGCUUACCAAGGCAACGAUGCGUAGCCGACCUGAGAGGGUGAUCGGCCACACUGGGACUGAGACACGGCCCAGACUCCUACGGGAGGCAGCAGUAGGGAAUCUUCCGCAAUGGACGAAAGUCUGACGGAGCAAUGCCGCGUGAGCGAAGAAGGCCUUCGGGUCGUAAAGCUCUGUUGUCAGGGAAGAACAAGUAUCGGAGUAACUGCCGGCGCCUUGACGGUACCUGACCAGAAAGCCACGGCUAACUACGUGCCAGCAGCCGCGGUAAUACGUAGGUGGCAAGCGUUGUCCGGAAUUAUUGGGCGUAAAGCGCGCGCAGGCGGUUUCUUAAGUCUGAUGUGAAAGCCCACGGCUCAACCCGUGGAGGGUCAUUGGAAACUGGGGAACUUGAGUGCAGAAGAGGAGAGUGGAAUUCCACGUGUAGCGGUGAAAUGCGUAGAGAUGUGGAGGAACACCAGUGGCGAAGGCGACUCUCUGGUCUGUAACUGACGCUGAGGCGCGAAAGCGUGGGGAGCGAACAGGAUUAGAUACCCUGGUAGUCCACGCCGUAAACGAUGAGUGCUAAGUGUUAGAGGGUUUCCGCCCUUUAGUGCUGCAGCAAACGCAUUAAGCACUCCGCCUGGGGAGUACGGCCGCAAGGCUGAAACUCAAAGGAAUUGACGGGGGCCCGCACAAGCGGUGGAGCAUGUGGUUUAAUUCGAAGCAACGCGAAGAACCUUACCAGGUCUUGACAUCCUCUGCCACUCCUAGAGAUAGGACGUUCCCCUUCGGGGGACAGAGUGACAGGUGGUGCAUGGUUGUCGUCAGCUCGUGUCGUGAGAUGUUGGGUUAAGUCCCGCAACGAGCGCAACCCUUGUUCUUAGUUGCCAGCAUUUAGUUGGGCACUCUAAGGAGACUGCCGGUGACAAACCGGAGGAAGGUGGGGAUGACGUCAAAUCAUCAUGCCCCUUAUGACCUGGGCUACACACGUGCUACAAUGGAUGGUACAAAGGGUCGCAAAACCGCGAGGUCUGGCCAAUCCCAUAAAACCAUUCUCAGUUCGGAUUGCAGGCUGCAACUCGCCUGCAUGAAGCCGGAAUCGCUAGUAAUCGUGGAUCAGCAUGCCACGGUGAAUACGUUCCCGGGCCCUGUACACACCGCCCGUCACACCACGAGAGUUUGUAACACCCGAAGUCGGUGGGGUAACCUUUUGGAGCCAGUCGCCUAAGGUGGGACAGAUGAUUGGGGUGAAGUCGUAACAAGGUA